RNAcentral lists this ribosomal RNA (468 nucleotides) under uncultured bacterium. Its description in RNAcentral is "partial 16S ribosomal RNA". It matches the Rfam family "Bacterial small subunit ribosomal RNA", at positions 28 to 507 of the family's 1533-position model. The record is from RNAcentral.
GACGAACGCUGGCGGCGUGCUUAACACAUGCAAGUCGAACGGUAAGGCGCCACCUUGUUGGGGUGCGUGAGUGGCGAACGGGUGAUUAACACGUGAGUAACCUGCCCUUGACUUUGGGAUAACGGCAGGAAACGGCGUCUAAUACCGGAUAUGAGCACGGUCUGCAUGGGCGGUGUCGGGAAGGUUGUGCGGUUGGGGAUGGGCUCGCGGCUUAUCAGCUUGUUGGUGAGGUAGUGGCUGACCAAGGCGUGGACGGGUAGCCGGCCUGAGAGGGUGACCGGCCACACUGGGACUGAGAGACGGACCAGACUCCUACGGGAGGCAGCAGGGGGGAAUAUUGCACAAUGGGCGGAAGCCUGAUGCAGCGACGCCGCGUGAGGGAUGACGGCCUUCGGGUUGUAAACCGCUUUCGGCUGAGAAGAAGCGUGAGUGACGGUACCGGAAGAAGAAGCACCGGCUAACUACGUG